GACGAACGCUGGCGGCGUGCUUAACACAUGCAAGUCGAACGGAAAGGCCCUGCUUGUGUGGGGUGCUCGAGUGGCGAACGGGUGAGUAACACGUGAGUAACCUGCCCUUGACUUUGGGAUAACUUCAGGAAACUGGGGCUAAUACCGGAUAGGAGCUCCUGCUGCAUGGUGGGGGUUGGAAAGUUUCGGCGGUUGGGGAUGGACUCGCGGCUUAUCAGCUUGUUGGUGGGGUAGUGGCUUACCAAGGCUUUGACGGGUAGCCGGCCUGAGAGGGUGACCGGCCACAUUGGGCCUGAGAGACGGCCCAGACUCCUACGGGGGGCAGAAGUGGGGAAUAUUGCACAAUGGGCGGACGCCUGAUGCGGAAACGCCGCGUGCGGGAUGACGGCCUUCGGGUUGUAAACCGCUUUCGCCUGUGACGAAGCGUGAGUGACGGUAAUGGGUAAAGAAGCACCGGCUAACUACGUG
RNAcentral lists this ribosomal RNA (468 nucleotides) under uncultured bacterium. RNAcentral describes it as "partial 16S ribosomal RNA". It matches the Rfam family "Bacterial small subunit ribosomal RNA", at positions 28 to 507 of the family's 1533-position model. The record is from RNAcentral.